AAGUGAAACUUCUUUAGAAUCGUUGUGAUUUCAAACCGGAUGCAACGAAAAAACGACAGGUAAGAGACACAAAUACAAAAAUGUGUAGGAUGAAGCCAGGGGAAAGAAUGAGACAGAAAUAUACAUACAAUUUGUAUAUUAUCGGUCUCUCCUCUUUGUUCCAUACUUCGUAGCGUCCCCACUCCCGUCUUCUAAGCAUAGUCGCCUGUAAUUUGUGAGCCAGAGCGAGAGAGCAGAUGUCAGUGUGUAUGUAUAUUGCACACUGUUUAAUACGUGCUUGUAUUUGAGCAUUUAAUGUGUGUAGUGCAUGUGAAAACUACGUGAGCUUACUGUACACUGUAUGCGGCUGCGUAUUACAGCGUUUUAGUAAGAUAGCGUGGUGUGUUAUUAUUUAACUGUUUGUGAGUAUUUUUAUAUCUUGUACUAAAUAAUAAAUUUUAUAAAAUGCCGAAAACUAAUGCCGAAAUGUGUCGUCAAUAUCGACGCAAAAAAAAUGAAAUUAAAAUGAAAAAAAAUUCAGCAAAAAGUUCAACAGAACGUAGUCGCGAGUUUCGUGCACGUAAAAAACAAUUAUUGAACAAUCAAAAUAGAUGUUCAGAUAUAAGUGUCAAUGUGACUGAUGUAAUAAAUGACCGAAGAGCGUCAGUAUCUACAAUUGAUCUACAACAUGAAUUUCGAAGGCUGAACUUGAAUCGACUUGAGACAAUUACAAAUGUUUUAUAUGAUUUCUUAAAUAAAAGAAAAGGGAUGUCACUGUUUACCUUUAACUGUCAAAGCUUACGAGCUCAUGUACAAGAUCUGCAACAUGACAAUAUAGUGUCAUCGUCAAAUUUUUAAUUCUUUCGGAGACAUGGAUGAAUAAUGAAGAUAUUGUAGACAUUCCAAAUUUUAAUAUUGUUGUUAAUUACAAAAGACCACGUACGAGGGCAGGCGGAGUAGCAAUUUAUCACAACGUAAAUGAUGGAGCCCGUGUUGUUACGCCACAAAUGGAUCUCAAUGCACAACAGCUAGAAUCAUUGUCUGUUCAGCUUUCGAAAGUUGGAGAAAUAUGUGCCUGUGAGAGCAGAAAUGACCAAGGAGAUUUAAUUUUGAUCGUAGCAAUUUACAUCUUUCCCCAACCAAUCAAUAAAAUCAGUUAUUGAAUUUAUACAUGAAAAUUUGAUCAAAUAUACCCCAAAGGUAUCGCGAAUUCUCAAAAAGAAUUAUGAUAAAAUUCCGAUGAUUUUAAGUGGGGAUUUUAACAUAAAUUUUGCAUCAGAUACAGCGCUUCCUUUGAUUGAGUUUCUCGAUACAACAUUUUAUUUAAAAAUGUGUAACAAUCGCACUCAAUCAACUACAAGAUCAAAAACGGUAAUAGAUGCAGUGUUCCAAAGAUAUAUCAACCAAAUUGAAACUAAAAUAUUUGUAUCGUAUUUUAGUUAUCAUAAGCCUCUUGUAUCAUUUGUUGAAACUGAAAAUAUGGAACUUGAGUAAUAGAUUAUGUAACAUAUGUUAAAUAAAAUAUAAAAUAUCUUUUAAAAUUAA
Cotesia glomerata is the source of this 1524-nucleotide long non-coding RNA. RefSeq lists it as uncharacterized. The record is from RefSeq and is a predicted model, not a curated record. The transcript has 2 exons. Lineage: Eukaryota; Metazoa; Arthropoda; Insecta; Hymenoptera; Braconidae.